AGUGAAGCAGAGAGGAGGGCCGGGACCAACAGGGCGCCUGCCCUGGUCGCCCCAUACCCAGAAUGCGGCCAGGCUGCAGGGAAGGCCGCCACUGGGCUUCCCCGGCUCACAGGCUGGAGGGGGUUGAGGGGAGGUUGUAUUUUGCCAGUCCCAGAGGGGAGGGACCGGAUUUGGCCUGGAGUGCUUCUGGCGUGGCUGGGAGCCGAGGGGCUUCCGGCUGCCUCUCCUGGAGCCCGCUCAGCCCUCAGUCUCUGUCCCAGCGAGGGCUGUCUCUGUAAGGGUUAGGGUGGGAGACGGUCCCCAGGGCCCUUCUGCAGUCCAACUGCCCAUGACUUUACCCCAGGCCGGGCCAGGCCAGCCUGGGGCUCUCCAGGGUCUCGGCCAACAGUCCUGUGGACAGCCCGGAAAGGCCUGCCUGCCUGGCCCGCCCAGCCUCUCAGCGGAAAACAAAGGCGCUUCAGACCCGGCUGGCUUCUGUCCUGCCUGGGAGGCACUGUGAGGGCGAGGGUCCAGAAUCCUGCCCACCCUCACACCAGGCUGCCCCCACAGCUCAUACCUGAGUAGAACCCAGGCUGGGAUGUCGGAGCACAUUGAGGAGGCCACCCCAGAGCCCGUGCAGCCACGGUGGGCAGCUGGUUUUCUUCUGAGCCAUUAGACCCAAUCGAUUCUGUAUUCCCAACUCGGACCCGUAAUGUGUGGCCAUUGACCCACCCAGUGGGUCUGAGGGCCAGUUCCCUGCCCCCACUUGGCCCACGUCCCAGAGCUGGCCAGAGCACAGUGCUGGCAGCCCUGAGCUGCAGCUGCCACGGCCGAUAGCCACCGAGACUUCCUUGCUGCUGCUGGGACACGCCUGCCCACCGUGCAGCCAGCCCCUGCCUGCCCUGCCGAGAAGGUGAGCUCCCUGGGGAAGGACUGGCACAAGUUCUGCCUCAAGUGCGAGCGCUGCAGCAAGACGCUGACGCCCGGGGGCCACGCCGAGCAUGACGGGAAGCCGUUCUGCCACAAGCCGUGCUACGCCACCCUGUUCGGACCCAAAGGCGUGAACAUCGGGGGCGCGGGCUCCUACAUCUACGAGAAGCCCCUGGCGGAGGGGCCGCAGGUCACCGGCCCCAUCGAGGUCCCCGCGGCCCGAGCAGAGGAGCGGAAGGCGAGCGGCCCCCCGAAGGGGCCCAGCAGAGCCUCCAGUGUCACCACUUUCACCGGGGAGCCCAACACGUGCCCGCGCUGCAGCAAGAAGGUGUACUUCGGUGAGUGCGCGCCCGGGCCCCGGACCCCCGCCCCCGCCCCUGCCCCGGGGCUCGGCCUCACUCCUCCCCCUUUCCAGCUGAGAAGGUGACGUCUCUGGGCAAGGAUUGGCACCGGCCCUGCCUGCGCUGCGAGCGCUGCGGGAAGACACUGACCCCCGGCGGGCACGCGGAGCACGACGGCCAGCCCUACUGCCACAAGCCCUGCUAUGGAAUCCUCUUCGGACCCAAGGGAGUGAACACCGGCGCGGUGGGCAGCUACAUCUAUGACCGGGACCCCGAAGGCAAGGUCCAGCCCUAGGCUACAGCGGCUCUCGUGAUGUGGGCUCACCUGCGCCCCAGACCCUGCAGGGGCUCCCCUGCUUGGCUCUGCUGGGAGAGUGCUCAGCCGCCUAGUCCUGCCUGCAAGCCCAGGGCGAGUAUUGGAGGAGGGGCAGCCACGGGCAGAGCGCCAUGCCCAUCCCCGAGUCUCUGGUGUGUCUGCCCCCUCUGGCAUCCUCUGGGCGUCCCAUGAUCCCUUCUGUGUCUGCGUGUCCGAAUCCCCGUGUGACCCUGUCCCAGCAUUUUCCCGCCGACCCUGCGUGUCCCCGUGGCGCUGUCCGCUCUCCCUCUCCUGCUGCCCACCCACCUGCCAGUGUUAUUUAUGCUCCCUUCGUGGGUGAUGGCCACGCCCUCACCAUGUCCCUGGCAGAGGGCUUUCCUCCGGGAUCCCCUGCCUGGUGCCCACACUGCCUCGCAAGCGCUCGCCACCCUCACGUGGCUCACCUGCUGUUGAGCCUUGUGCUGUCAAUAAACGGUUUGAGGAUUGC
Molecule: small RNA, 2053 nt
Filed under: Pan troglodytes (chimpanzee)
Lineage: Eukaryota; Metazoa; Chordata; Mammalia; Primates; Hominidae
Description: processed transcript
Source: RNAcentral